Molecule: long non-coding RNA, 564 nt
Filed under: Citrus x clementina
Lineage: Eukaryota; Viridiplantae; Streptophyta; Magnoliopsida; Sapindales; Rutaceae
Description: Citrus clementina (C. clementina) long non-coding RNA (CCLE_LNC002135)
Source: RNAcentral
UUUAUUAAGUAGAAAAAUAAUUGGAGAUCAUGGAUAAAAAAUACGUGAAAAAAUUCAAUUUAGAAAGCAUGAAAGAUUAAUUGAAUUUGAAAGCAAUUAGGCAUACAUGCAUGUGGAAUUCAAGCUGAGGAAAACCGAAGCCAAUAAAUUAAUUCAUCCAUGCACAUGCAGACAAAGAAGCUCAUAGCCAUCAGGUGGAGAUUAAAGAAGAAAUUGAAUUUAAUUCAAUUUGGCGGCUUCACCUUUUUGCCUCGUAACAACUGGAAUAAAAAAUCUUAAAGGAUUUAACUAUAGAGGCGGCUGCUUGGCUUACAAGAAUUACAAUUCAAUUUUGACAAGGAUUCGGCCAAGUAGCAUUCCAUAAAUAGAAGCCAAAGAGGUAGAUCGCGGAAGACAGAGAGGGAGAGCAGCGGCAGCAGCAAUCCAAUUUUCCUGUGUCUGAUCUUAUUUCAUUUAUUUUUUAUUACUCCUUAUUUAAGUAUAUCUAACUAACUUUUUUAUAUGAGACUAAGGAUGAAAACUCAUUCAAUAAAAUAAUUAUUUACUAAGUUUCCCAUUCUGUAA